AGUGAACGCUGGCGGUAGGCCUAACACAUGCAAGUCGAACGGCAGCACAGUAAGAGCUUGCUCUUACGGGUGGCGAGUGGCGGACGGGUGAGGAAUACAUCGGAAUCUACUUUUUCGUGGGGGAUAACGUAGGGAAACUUACGCUAAUACCGCAUACGACCUACGGGUGAAAGUAGGGGAUCUUCGGACCUUGCGCGAUUGAAUUAGCCGAUGUCGGAUUAGCUAGUUGGCGGGGUAAAGGCCCACCAAGGCGACGAUCCGUAGCUGGUCUGAGAGGAUGAUCAGCCACACUGGAACUGAGACACGGUCCAGACUCCUACGGGAGGCAGCAGUGGGGAAUAUUGGACAAUGGGCGCAAGCCUGAUCCAGCCAUACCGCGUGGGUGAAGAAGGCCUUCGGGUUGUAAAGCCCUUUUGUUGGGAAAGAAAAGCAGCAGGUUAAUACCCCGCUGUUCUGACGGUACCCAAAGAAUAAGCACCGGCUAACUUCGUG
RNAcentral lists this ribosomal RNA (492 nucleotides) under uncultured bacterium. RNAcentral's name for it is "partial 16S ribosomal RNA". It matches the Rfam family "Bacterial small subunit ribosomal RNA", at positions 29 to 507 of the family's 1533-position model. The record is from RNAcentral.